This 1814-nucleotide ribosomal RNA is filed under the name Escherichia coli DEC5A. Its description in RNAcentral is "partial 23S ribosomal RNA". Lineage: Bacteria; Pseudomonadati; Pseudomonadota; Gammaproteobacteria; Enterobacterales; Enterobacteriaceae. The record is from RNAcentral.
AAGGUUAAGCCUCACGGUUCAUUAGUACCGGUUAGCUCAACGCAUCGCUGCGCUUACACACCCGGCCUAUCAACGUCGUCGUCUUCAACGUUCCUUCAGGACCCUUAAAGGGUCAGGGAGAACUCAUCUCGGGGCAAGUUUCGUGCUUAGAUGCUUUCAGCACUUAUCUCUUCCGCAUUUAGCUACCGGGCAGUGCCAUUGGCAUGACAACCCGAACACCAGUGAUGCGUCCACUCCGGUCCUCUCGUACUAGGAGCAGCCCCCCUCAGUUCUCCAGCGCCCACGGCAGAUAGGGACCGAACUGUCUCACGACGUUCUAAACCCAGCUCGCGUACCACUUUAAAUGGCGAACAGCCAUACCCUUGGGACCUACUUCAGCCCCAGGAUGUGAUGAGCCGACAUCGAGGUGCCAAACACCGCCGUCGAUAUGAACUCUUGGGCGGUAUCAGCCUGUUAUCCCCGGAGUACCUUUUAUCCGUUGAGCGAUGGCCCUUCCAUUCAGAACCACCGGAUCACUAUGACCUGCUUUCGCACCUGCUCGCGCCGUCACGCUCGCAGUCAAGCUGGCUUAUGCCAUUGCACUAACCUCCUGAUGUCCGACCAGGAUUAGCCAACCUUCGUGCUCCUCCGUUACUCUUUAGGAGGAGACCGCCCCAGUCAAACUACCCACCAGACACUGUCCGCAACCCGGAUUACGGGUCAACGUUAGAACAUCAAACAUUAAAGGGUGGUAUUUCAAGGUCGGCUCCAUGCAGACUGGCGUCCACACUUCAAAGCCUCCCACCUAUCCUACACAUCAAGGCUCAAUGUUCAGUGUCAAGCUAUAGUAAAGGUUCACGGGGUCUUUCCGUCUUGCCGCGGGUACACUGCAUCUUCACAGCGAGUUCAAUUUCACUGAGUCUCGGGUGGAGACAGCCUGGCCAUCAUUACGCCAUUCGUGCAGGUCGGAACUUACCCGACAAGGAAUUUCGCUACCUUAGGACCGUUAUAGUUACGGCCGCCGUUUACCGGGGCUUCGAUCAAGAGCUUCGCUUGCGCUGACCCCAUCAAUUAACCUUCCGGCACCGGGCAGGCGUCACACCGUAUACGUCCACUUUCGUGUUUGCACAGUGCUGUGUUUUUAAUAAACAGUUGCAGCCAGCUGGUAUCUUCGACUGAUUUCAGCUCCAUCCGCGAGGGACUUCACCUACAUAUCAGCGUGCCUUCUCCCGAAGUUACGGCACCAUUUUGCCUAGUUCCUUCACCCGAGUUCUCUCAAGCGCCUUGGUAUUCUCUACCUGACCACCUGUGUCGGUUUGGGGUACGAUUUGAUGUUACCUGAUGCUUAGAGGCUUUUCCUGGAAGCAGGGCAUUUGUUGCUUCAGCACCGUAGUGCCUCGUCAUCACGCCUCAGCCUUGAUUUUCCGGAUUUGCCUGGAAAACCAGCCUACACGCUUAAACCGGGACAACCGUCGCCCGGCCAACAUAGCCUUCUCCGUCCCCCCUUCGCAGUAACACCAAGUACAGGAAUAUUAACCUGUUUCCCAUCGACUACGCCUUUCGGCCUCGCCUUAGGGGUCGACUCACCCUGCCCCGAUUAACGUUGGACAGGAACCCUUGGUCUUCCGGCGAGCGGGCUUUUCACCCGCUUUAUCGUUACUUAUGUCAGCAUUCGCACUUCUGAUACCUCCAGCAUGCCUCACAGCACACCUUCACAGGCUUACAGAACGCUCCCCUACCCAACAACACACAGUGUCGCUGCCGCAGCUUCGGUGCAUGGUUUAGCCCCGUUACAUCUUCCGCGCAGGCCGACUCGACCAGUGAGCUAUUACGCU